Molecule: ribosomal RNA, 468 nt
Filed under: uncultured bacterium
Lineage: Bacteria
Description: partial 16S ribosomal RNA
Rfam family: Bacterial small subunit ribosomal RNA
Source: RNAcentral
GACGAACGCUGGCGGCGUGCUUAACACAUGCAAGUCGAACGGAAAGGCCCUGCUUUUGUGGGGUGCUCGAGUGGCGAACGGGUGAGUAACACGUGAGUAACCUGCCCUUGACUUUGGGAUAACUUCAGGAAACUGGGGCUAAUACCGGAUAGGAGCUCCUGCUGCAUGGUGGGGGUUGGAAAGUUUCGGCGGUUGGGGAUGGACUCGCGGGUUAUCAGCUUGUUGGGGGGGUAGUGGCUUACCAAGGCUUUGACGGGUAGCCGGCCUGGGAGGGUGACCGGCCACAUUGGGACUGAGAUACGGCCCAGACUCCUACGGGAGGCAGCAGUGGGGAAUAUUGCACAAUGGGCGGAAGCCUGAUGCAGCAACGCCGCGUGCGGGAUGACGGCCUUCGGGUUGUAAACCGCUUUCGCCUGUGACGAAGCGUGAGUGACGGUAAUGGGUAAAGAAGCACCGGCUAACUACGUG